ACCUGUAAAGCCAAAGGCUCUCCUCCCUCCAUUACUGCUGGAAAAAUAGCAAAAUGUUUCCUUUUGAUCAUUCUAGCUCAAUAUCAUCAUUAGCUGUUGCUCGUGUGAUGGCUACAAUAGACUAGUUAAUAUUGUGCCAAAGAAACCACCACUGCUAGACAGACCUGGUGAAGGAAGCUACAAUAGAUAUUACAGUCAUGUUGAUUACCGAGACUAUGACGAGGGCCGCAGUUUUUCUCAUGAUCGAAGAAGUGGUCCACCUCACAGAGGAGAUGAAUCUGGUUAUAGAUGGACAAGAGACGAUCAUUCUGCAAGCAGGCAACCUGAAUACAGAGAAUCACCUGUUGGCCGAAAGGAUUCUCCACACAGCAGAUCUGGUUCCAGUGUCAGUAGCAGAAGCUACUCUCCAGAAAGGAGCAAAUCAUACUCUUUCCAUCAGUCUCAACAUAGAAAUAAAGAGAGGCCUGUCCAGUCUUUGAAAACAUCAAGAGAUACUUCACCCUCAAGUGGUUCAGCAGU
RNAcentral lists this small RNA (519 nucleotides) under Pongo abelii (Sumatran orangutan). RNAcentral's name for it is "processed transcript". Lineage: Eukaryota; Metazoa; Chordata; Mammalia; Primates; Hominidae. The record is from RNAcentral.